RNAcentral lists this ribosomal RNA (2778 nucleotides) under Cavernulicola chilensis. RNAcentral describes it as "large subunit ribosomal RNA". It matches the Rfam family "Bacterial large subunit ribosomal RNA". Lineage: Eukaryota; Rhodophyta; Bangiophyceae; Cavernulicolales; Cavernulicolaceae. The record is from RNAcentral.
UAAUAAUUAAUGUUUGAGCACCCAAGGGAUACCUAGGCAUAAGAAGAUAAGAGACGUCGCGCGACGAAACGUCAUAUGUAGGUAUAGACCUGUAAUAUAUGAAUUUCUCUAUGAGUAAGAACUCCUUAUUAUUGAGUUCAAACAACUUGGCAAAUUGAAACAUCUUAGUAGCCAGAGGAAAAGGAACCAAACGGGAUACCGCUAGUAGUGGCGAGCGAACACGGUGUAUAGGCUUGCCAUAUCUUUGUAUAAGCACGAAACAGCCGUAGAAGGUAGAAGCCCUGUAGCGCUUAUAAUUAUGGCUUCACAGUAAUAUGGAAACACAUAUUUCUUUAGGAAAUUGGGAGAUCCAUCUUCCGGGUCUAAAUACUUCUUAUGUUCGAUAGUGAACGAGUACCGUGAGGGAAAGGUGGAAAGUUAAGGUGUAUACCUGGUUUUGAUCUUGAAAUUGGGUGCUCACAAUCAGUUGAAGCUCCGUUUAGAGUGACAACGUACCUUUUGUAUAAUGGGUCAGCGACUGAAUAAAUAUAGCGAGCUUAAAUUAUUAAAUGGAAGCUGAAUUAUAAUAAGAAAACCUUGAUAAGUUAUAUUUAUUCGACUCGAAUCUGAAGUGAUCUAAUCUAGAGCAGACUGAUAUUGUGGUAACACACGAUGGAAGGUCGAACCCGUAUAUGUGGAAAAAUAUUGGGAUGACUCUUGAUUAGGAGUGAAAGGCUAAUCAAACUCAGUGAUAGCUAGCUCUCUGCGAAAUCUAUUUUAGUAGAGUCUUUCAUAUUAUGUUAUUGUAGGUAUAGCACUGGAUAGGUAAGGGUGGCUUAUGCCUGACUAAACUUAACUAAACUUAUAAUUACAAAUAAGUAAAUGAAGGAAACAGACUAUGGGCGAUAAGGUCCAUGGUCAAGAGGGAAAUAACCCAGAUCGUUCAUUAAGGUCCCUAAGGAUAUACAAGUUUAUAAGGCAGCUAAUGCAUAACAAGAUAGUGAGUAGGCUUAGAAGCAGCCAUCUAUUAAAGAACGCGUUAUAGCGCACUACUUUAUGUUUUUUGCGCCAAAAAUUUAAAGGGAAUAAAUAUAUUCACCGAAAUGACGACUUCCACUAUCUAUUCGUGUGGAAGGAUAGCAGAGCAUCCUGUUUGCAAUAAAGAGUGUAUCUGAAAAGAUAUAUAUUAAUAUCAGGAGUGAGAAUGCUGAUAUGAGUAGCGAAAACCAUGUUAGAAAAUCAUGGUCACCGAAAACCCAAGGGUUUGUACGUACUUUCAACUGCGUGCAGUUAGUCAGCCUCUAAGGUAUAGGUGAAAAUCUAGUACCAAUGAGUAAACCAAGCAAUUUUGGUAACCAUAUAUGGACAUCGUUAAUUUCAAUUUACGAGACGGAGUAUUACUAAAAACUUUUAAUUAUGGCAUUUUAUUUGCUUUUUUUGUAUUCCCAGGAAAAAACCAUGUAUUUUAACUGUAGGUCGCUUUGUACUAAGAGAUCUACAGUUAUAUUUGGCUGUACCCUAAACCGACGCAGGUGGGUUGGUCGAAUAGACCGAGGUGUGUGGGUGAAUCAUAUUGAAGGAACUCGGCAAAUUGACCCCGUAAGUUCGCAAGAAGGGGUAUCACUCAUGUGAUGGUACAAAAUGAGAGCGGCGACUGUUUAUUAAAAACACAAGACUUUGCCAACUCUUUUAGAGAAUGUAUAAGGUUUGACGUUUGCCAGGUGCUUGAAGGUUAAGAGGCUAGGUAGAAGCCUAUGCCAAAAGCCCAAGUAAACGGCGGUCCUAACUAUAAGGAUCCUAAGGUAGCGUAACCCACUGGCGUAUAAUUUACGUCCUGCAUGAAUAACGUAACGACCGCUCUGCUGUCUCCAAUAUGACCCCAGCGAAAUUGAAUUCUCCGUGAAGAUGCGGAGUACUUGCAGUCAGACGGAAAGACCCCGUGAUUCUUUACUAUAAUCUUGUAUUGUGGUCUCUAUUUAAUUGUGUAGAAUAGGUGGGAACUAAUUCUUAAGUUCUUUUUUAGGAUAAUUAAGUCUAGUGCCUGUGAAAUACCACCCUUUUCUUUUUAGGCCACUUAUUCAUACUAUAAGUGUUGAAAACAGUGUAAGAUUGGUAGUUUAUUUGGGGCGAAUACCUCCUAAAUAGUAACGGAGGUGCGCGAAGGUAAACUUAUAUUCGUCAGAAAUGAAUUGUAAAGUGUAAUGGCGUAAGUUUGCUUAACGGUAAGAUCUAUAAAUUGAACCGAGACGAAAGUCGGCCAUAGUGAUCCGAUGGUCUUUCAUGGAAAGCCAUCGCUCAACAGAUAAAAGAAACUCCGGGGAUAACAGCGUUAUCGUCCCUAAGAGCUCCUAUCGACGGGACGGUUUGCGACCUCGAUGUCGGCUCAUCAUAUCCUGGGGCUGCAGUAGGUCCCAAGGGUCCGGGUGUUCACCGGUUAAAAUGGUACGUGAGCUGGGUUUAAAACGUCGUGAGACAGUUUGGUCCCUAUCUGCUGUAAGCUUAGAAGAUUGCAGAACACCGCUCUUAGUACGAGAGGAUUGGAGUGGAUUAGCCUCUGGUGUAUUAGCUGUCCAGGUUAGGGCAACACUAAGUAGCUACGCUAGUAAAGCAUAAGCACUGAAAGAAUCUAAGUGCGAAAGCUUUUCUAAGAUAAAUCUUCGAUAGUACUCUAAAAGACGAUUAGAUGGAUCGGUCUAGUAUAAAUGAUUUGUAAAAGUCUAGGUAUAUAGAUACGAAUUUACUAAUAAAUUUUUAAAUCAUGUCCAAAAACGGAUUUACCGUUUUUGGAUAUAUCAUAAG